GACUUUGGUGGCUGAGUUUAAAGUAUUAACCUUUUAAGUUAAAUCACGGUGUAUGCCCCAGGUCU
RNAcentral lists this transfer RNA (65 nucleotides) under Sminthurides bifidus. RNAcentral describes it as "tRNA-Lys". Lineage: Eukaryota; Metazoa; Arthropoda; Collembola; Symphypleona; Sminthurididae. The record is from RNAcentral.